This is a long non-coding RNA of Oncorhynchus tshawytscha (Chinook salmon), 970 nucleotides long. The record is from Ensembl. NCBI's taxonomy places the organism in Eukaryota, Metazoa, Chordata, Actinopteri, Salmoniformes, Salmonidae.
GGUGGUGGUGACAGCUGCUGCAGGGGCGGUGGUGGUGAGAGGUGCUGCAGGGGCGGUGGUGGUGAGAGGUGCUGCAGGGGCAGUGGUGGUGAGAGGUGCUGCAGGGGCGGUGGUGGUGAGAGGUGCUGCAGGGGCAGUGGUGGUGAGAGGUGCUGCAGGGGCGGUAGUGGUGAGAGGUGCUGCAGGGGCGGUGUUGGUGACAGCUGCUGCAGGGGCGGUAGUGGUGAGAGGUGCUGCAACGGCGGUGGUAGUGAGAGGUGCUGCAGGGGCGGUGGUGGUGACAGCUGCUGCAGGGGCGGUAGUGGUGAGAGGUGCUGCAGGGGCGGUGGUGGUGAGAGGUGCUGCAUGAGUGGUGGUGGUGACAGCUGCUGCAGGGGCGGUAGUUGUGAGAGGUGCUGCAUGAGUGGUGGUGGUGACAGCUGCUGCAGGGGCGGUAGUGGUGAGAGGUGCUGCAGGGGCGGUGGUGGUGAGAGGUGCUGCAUGAGUGGUGGUGGUGACAGCUGCUGCAGGGGCGGUGGUGGUGACAGCUGCUGCAGGGGCGGUGGUGGUGAGAGGUGCUGCAGGGGCGGUGGUGGUACCAGCUGCUGCAGGGACGGUGGUGGUGACAGCUGCUGCAGGGGCGGUGGUGGUGACAGCUGCUGCAGGGGCGGUAGUAGUGAGAGGUGCUGCAGGGGCGGUAGUAGUGAGAGGUGCUGCAGGGGCGGUGGUGGUGACAGCUGCUGCAGGGGCGGUGGUGGUGAGAGGUGCUGCAGGGGCGGUGGUGGUGAGAGGUGCUGCAGGGGCAGUGGUGGUGAGAGGUGCUGCAGGGGCGGUGGUGGUGAGAGGUGCUGCAGGGGCGGUGGUGGUGAGAGGUGCUGCAGGGGCAGUGGUGGUGAGAGGUGCUGCAGGGGCGGUGGUGGUGAGAGGUGCUGCAGGGGCGGUGGUGGUACCAGCUGCUGCAGGGGCGGUGGUAGUGAGAGGUGCUGCAGGG